GUACCGAUGUAUCCUGGGUAUGCUGAUUUUCAAGUACCAACAGCUAUAGAAUAUUACACCACGUUGCUGCCUUACUACUUAACAUUAACAUACGCAAUAUAUACGAAUAUCUACGCUGCUUCGAGGUACUGCACGGAAGUAUCAGUCUACCCCAAGUUACAUCAACAAAACGAGUACUACACUGGAGAUCUCAAAUUCUACACCACCAAAGCUACAAAGCACUACACCGAGGCUGCAGCUUAUUAAAACACCAAAGCGGUUGAGUAUCGAGGGGUGUAAGUACUACCCCUUAACCUACUGCAGAGUAGUGUUGUUAACAACUGCCAUAAUCAUUAGAAAUAUUCUCAACCAUGGAUAACCGGUGUUUUGCUACUGUUGAGGAUGGUGAUAAAGUGAUGUGGUGUUGGUGUAGUGAUGUUUCCUGGGUAUGGCGGAUAUUAACCAGCGACGUUGCUGUCUUACUACACAACAAACUUUACGACCUGUUACUACACCGGGAUUUAUUAACGGGAAAUAUUAAUGUUACACAACCACGGAUGCUAAAUCAGUGUCUACAAUCAGUGUCUACAAUCAGUGUCUACAAUCAGUGUCUACAAUCAGUGUCUACAAUCAGUGUCUACAAUCAGUGUCUACAAUCAGUGUCUACAAUCAACAAACCGAGACUUCUAUAUUACACUACCAACGCCCUCAAGUAUUACAUUACAACCUACGCUGCCCAAUACUACUAUACCGAGGCUUCGAAGUUCUACACCAUUAAGGCAUAACCAAUUCGCCAUCAUGAGUAAAUAUGCUUUAAAACUGCCUUUUUUU
This is a long non-coding RNA of Daphnia pulex (common water flea), 810 nucleotides long. RefSeq lists it as uncharacterized. NCBI's taxonomy places the organism in Eukaryota, Metazoa, Arthropoda, Branchiopoda, Diplostraca, Daphniidae. The record is from RefSeq and is a predicted model, not a curated record. The transcript is spliced from 3 exons.